Molecule: ribosomal RNA, 273 nt
Filed under: uncultured bacterium
Lineage: Bacteria
Description: partial 16S ribosomal RNA
Rfam family: Bacterial small subunit ribosomal RNA
Source: RNAcentral
UACGGAGGGUGCAAGCGUUAUCCGGAAUCAUUGGGUUUAAAGGGUCCGCAGGCGGAUUAAUAAGUCAGUGGUGAAAUCCUCUCGCUCAACGAGAGAACUGCCAUUGAAACUGUUAGUCUUGAAUUCGGUCGAAGUAGGCGGAAUGUGUCAUGUAGCGGUGAAAUGCAUAGAUAUGACACAGAACACCGAUAGCGAAGGCAGCUUACUAGACCUGGAUUGACGCUCAUGGACGAAAGCGUGGGGAGCGAACAGGAUUAGAAACCCUAGUAGUCC